Centrocercus urophasianus (Greater sage-grouse) is the source of this 2045-nucleotide long non-coding RNA. RefSeq lists it as uncharacterized. The record is from RefSeq and is a predicted model, not a curated record. NCBI's taxonomy places the organism in Eukaryota, Metazoa, Chordata, Aves, Galliformes, Phasianidae. The transcript is spliced from 2 exons.
UGUUUGUUUUGUGAUUAUAACAUCCUAAUAUUCUUUGAUUAUACGGUUCCUCACUUAAUACUUCCUUCUGUUCUUCUUCCAUUCUUCCAGUGGUAAAUCACGGCAUUAUUUUCAGAGCUCUGGAGCUCCAGAGCUAUCCUGUAGGUAUCCACUGUUAGCAAUAUGUUUUCCUUCUCUCUUUCGAAGUGCCCCAAUUCAUGAACAGAUGGGAAGUUUCUAGAAGACAUCUUUGGCAGUUCUCAGAAAAGAGAUUGCCAGCAGUACAAUUUCUCCCAAGACCCUACUGAUACUGUCUCAUCUCCUUUGAACAUGCUUGUGCAUGUUCACCAUCUUCCCUUCAAAACAACACAAUACUUACUCCUCCUGCACAGAAACCUUCAAGAUGGAGAAACAUCAUUUAUGAAGAGCUUUUUUCCACAUCUAGAUAUUCCUGUGGUGGCAAGUAUCCAAAAUGAGAGCCAAGGCAUUGUGGCUUAGCAUCUGCUCCUCCUUCUCUUUCUGCUGCCAUCACCUGGGGCAAAAAUAAAACCUGACUCAGAUAUUGAGGGUAAUGAAGUGGAAGAUUGAGCAAAGCAGAGGUUGUGUGGUGAGCCUCAAACAGGAAAAGACAAAAAUAUAAAGAGAGAGGUAACUGUACUGCAGGAUGCCUAGGGCAUAGGAUUGUUAUUUGAAAGAGUGAGAUGGGGAAGAUACAAGUGAUGAAGAACAUUUGGAAGUUAAACAAAAUGCUCUGACAGUUUGUCACUGUCAAAGUCUGGACCUUCUGUAAAAAAAUAUUCAGAGAAAAUAAGGAAUACUUUUGUGAGCUAACAGUGGGCAAAAUCCUUCACCAGAUGUACAUAGAAGGAGCACUGAUCCCCAAGUUGAGGGUACUCAAAAUCCUGAGCAUAAGGGACUGUAACAAUCCCAUCGGAACACAAGAUACACAGGCAAAAUGUUUCAGUCGCUUAGUUUUAGGGGUAAUAUUCAACAGCAGGUAGUUAUAGAGUUUGCCACACCAAGAGAUAUUCUGUAGAUCUUUAACUUGGUCUAAGUUUUAUGCUCUGUUGUUCUCCAACUCUAGGUGGUAAGCAGACAAAAGGCACAGCUCCUCAGCUGUCAGGGCUGAAUUCCUGUGUGUGUGCUCACACACACUGCCAUCAUCAGUACUACAGAAGUUCACGUACCUUGAAGGUUUUGGAGAAAUUCAAUAUGUUUUGGAGACUAAAUCUCUUCUAAUGCAUUUGUAAACUUUUCUGGAUGGAAGAGAAGUAAUUUUGUAUAACCACAGAGGAGAAACAACAGAUUGCUCACUGAAACUGCGUUUCAGGCUGUUGGGAACAUAACAGAGACCAGGCUUGCUGUGUGGAUACUGAUGUUGCAAACAUCCCUGCAAUGGUGUCUUCAGCUAGAUGGACUAAGACUCCCCAGACCUGUUCUGGUGAAUACUUGCAAUCCAAUUGGCAUGUGGACCUAUGUCAUGCUACAGUGUCUGCACAUCAGUUAUGUUAUCUUAAACUACAUAGGCAUUACAUCUUACAUAUUAAACACAACUAUGAACAAAAGGCAGUCCUAUGUCUUUCAUAGGCUGCAACAGUUUCUGUUGACAAUUUAGAAUGAUGCAUGGUUUGCUCAGUUCCUUGAUCUUCCCCCAUGAACUGCUCAAGGAAAUCCCUAGUAGUGCACUAGAUCCUUCACACCAGGUGUUAGGCAAUAUAUCUAAACAUCUAGACAGCAUCUGUUCAUUUUCACACAGUGUGGUGGUCAUCUGUAAUCACUUAUCUUCAGUUAAUAUUGGUGCUCUUGUGUAUUUAAUGAUGCUUUUCCUUUAGAACAAAAAAAAUGCUUUCUGCACACCUGCAGAAAGCUUUCUGCAUUUACAGAACCUUAAGAUUGUGAAGUGUUAGAAAGUUGACAUAAAAUAGCAAAUUCCUCUCUUCCCACCUACCUCACCCAAGUAAUAAAACAGUGAAGAAAGAUGUAAGGAUUUCCUUUAUUUGUUUGUCCUUGUUUAACAUGAAUGGUAUUUUCAUAAAAUAAAAAUAAAAAACAGCCUUCAUUAAAUA